CCUGGUUGUCAACAGCAGCUCAAGUUUGUUUGGAGAUUUGGAAAUAAAUUCUUGAGCCUGACCGUGCAAUCUCUCUUCAUGAGAAAAUAUUGCCCAUUGCACCUGUACAGCACAGUCCCUGCAGACCAGGGAAUGAUCUGCAAAGCAGGCAGUUGGUCCAACAUGCUAUAAACUGCAAUUCAAGAAAGGAAUGUGUUUGGAUAUGAAGUGCUCAGAGCAGCCCUGAAGAAACACUUAUGAGACAAUGCAAGGGGCUGUAGUGCUUCAUGGAAGCGGGAUUUGCUUUUUUGCCAGAAAGAGCAUCGAGAGGCAACCAAAGACGCAAGGGACAGGCUGUUUGAGCAGUCGACCCUUCCAUCUCAGGUUGGUCCUAUGGACCUCUCAUUUCAGUUGCAUGCGAAGACGUCUAGAGGAUCCGUUUGCUGGCCUUUGGCUAUAGAGAUUGGUGUUGCAGAUGAAAUUUUCUGAGCAGAAGCCUCUGAAAGCAGCACUGUGGGGAACACAAUGGCCGUAUGGUACACAAUGGCCAGCUUUAAUGGCUGAUGGAUAUGCUAUGCCUGUUGCUUUCAAGACAUGCUACAAAAACAGACAGCACUAACAUCAGAUACUGUCUUUUAUUUUUACUGCUCUUUUCCAACAAGAAUGGCACUGAUGAUGACUUUAGCCUUCAGCUGCUAAGCACCUUUUCACUCUUUCCCGAAGUGUGUGGUUAAUAAAAGCAAGUUGAGUGUACUCA
Molecule: long non-coding RNA, 736 nt
Filed under: Anas platyrhynchos platyrhynchos (common mallard)
Lineage: Eukaryota; Metazoa; Chordata; Aves; Anseriformes; Anatidae
Description: lncRNA (ENSAPLG00000022288.1)
Source: RNAcentral